RNAcentral lists this ribosomal RNA (450 nucleotides) under uncultured bacterium. Its description in RNAcentral is "partial 16S ribosomal RNA". It matches the Rfam family "Bacterial small subunit ribosomal RNA", at positions 354 to 796 of the family's 1533-position model. The record is from RNAcentral.
GUGGGGAAUUUUGGACAAUGGGCGCAAGCCUGAUCCAGCAAUGCCGCGUGCAGGAAGAAGGCCUUCGGGUUGUAAACUGCUUUUGUACGGAACGAAACGGCUCUGGUUAAUACCUGGGGCUAAUGACGGUACCGUAAGAAUAAGCACCGGCUAACUACGUGCCAGCAGCCGCGGUAAUACGUAGGGUGCAAGCGUUAAUCGGAAUUACUGGGCGUAAAGCGUGCGCAGGCGGUUUUGUAAGACAGGCGUGAAAUCCCCGGGCGCAACCUGGGAAUGGCGAUUGUGACUGCAAGGCUGGAGUGCGGCAGAGGGGGAUGGAAUUCCGCGUGUAGCAGUGAAAUGCGUAGAUAUGCGGAGGAACACCGAUGGCGAAGGCAAUCCCCUGGGCCUGCACUGACGCUCAUGCACGAAAGCGUGGGGAGCAAACAGGAUUAGAAACCCCAGUAGUCC